Molecule: long non-coding RNA, 796 nt
Organism: Alligator mississippiensis (American alligator)
Lineage: Eukaryota; Metazoa; Chordata; Crocodylia; Alligatoridae
Exons: 2
Source: RefSeq, a predicted model, not a curated record
UCUCAUUUCCCCUCUCUCCUUAAUAGUGAGUUGAACAAAUAUCAGUAGCCUGCAAUUCACCAAAGUCUAGAGUAUACUUGCCAGACUUUCAUACAUUCAUAGAUUGUAAGGCCGGAAGAGACCGUGGAAGAUUAUCGGAUCCAGCCCACCGCACCAAGCAGGAAAGAUAACUGGGCGCCAGGUGACCUCAGCAAGGUGACUGUCUAGUCUCCUCUUGAAGAUUUCCAGGGUAUACUGUUGGCAAAGACCUGGCACAAUCAUCAGCUGUGUGUGCUGGAGACAGAACUAAGGAGGCAUGAGAGGGUCCCAGACUGCUUGGAUUGAAAGCAGAGAACUACAUUUACAUUUCAAAGUAGAACCUGUAAGGGAUGACAGACUAGAAUACCUGAGAAGAGACAAAGCCACUGAAUGCAUGAAAGUCCUGAGAGACAUCAAAAGCAUGCUAUAGGCAAAGCAGCCAAGAGGAAAAAGGAAGUGCAGAUUCACUUAUAAAAACCCAAGCAGAGAUGAGGCCUGCAAGAUCUCCACUUCAAUGCCUAUGACCUGCAGAUUUCCCCAGAAGGACUUCCUGAAUACCUGGCUGUAAGGAGACAUUCUGCCUUUGCCUUGGGAUUAGGUAUGACUUAUGCAAGGCUUUGUUGUCUUGUUGGUUUAUUAUACUGCAUUUUAAGUUAGACUAAGUUGUGUCUGCUGUCACUGUGUCUUAUACUCUGCCUAAACUUUCUGUUGUUCUUUGUAAUGUGCUUUGAAGCAGCAAAUUGCUGUGUUCAAUAAAUGCUCUCUUCAGGGAAUGGAC